UACGAAGGGGGCUAGCGUUGCUCGGAAUCACUGGGCGUAAAGCGCACGUAGGCGGGUCUUUAAGUCAGGGGUGAAAUCCUGGAGCUCAACUCCAGAACUGCCUUUGAUACUGGGGAUCUCGAGUCCGGAAGAGGUGAGUGGAACUCCGAGUGUAGAGGUGAAAUUCGUAGAUAUUCGGAAGAACACCAGUGGCGAAGGCGGCUCACUGGUCCAGUACUGACGCUGAGGUGCGAAAGCGUGGGGAGCAAACAGG
RNAcentral lists this ribosomal RNA (253 nucleotides) under uncultured bacterium. RNAcentral describes it as "partial 16S ribosomal RNA". It matches the Rfam family "Bacterial small subunit ribosomal RNA", at positions 524 to 776 of the family's 1533-position model. The record is from RNAcentral.